RNAcentral lists this ribosomal RNA (388 nucleotides) under uncultured bacterium. RNAcentral describes it as "bacterial SSU rRNA". It matches the Rfam family "Bacterial small subunit ribosomal RNA", at positions 28 to 417 of the family's 1533-position model. The record is from RNAcentral.
GACGAACGCUGGCGGCGUGCUUAACACAUGCAAGUCGAGCGGUAAGGCCCUUUCGGGGGUACACGAGCGGCGAACGGGUGAGUAACACGUGGGUGACCUGCCCUCAGCUCUGGGAUAAGCCUGGGAAACUGGGUCUAAUACUGGAUAUGACUCCACGGUGCAUGUCGUGGGGUGGAAAGCCUUGUGCGGCUGAGGAUGGGCCCGCGGCCUAUCAGCUUGUUGGUGGGGUGAUGGCCUACCAAGGCGACGACGGGUAGCCGGCCUGAGAGGGCGACCGGCCACACUGGGACUGAGACACGGCCCAGACUCCUACGGGAGGCAGGCAGCGGGGAAUCUUGGACAAUGGGCGCAAGCCUGAUCCAGCCAUGCCGCGUGGGUGAGAAGGCCU